RNAcentral lists this long non-coding RNA (158 nucleotides) under Astyanax mexicanus (Mexican tetra). RNAcentral's name for it is "lncRNA (ENSAMXG00005023248.1)". The record is from RNAcentral. Lineage: Eukaryota; Metazoa; Chordata; Actinopteri; Characiformes; Acestrorhamphidae.
CAGGAAUAAACGGAGCACGCAGCCGAAUCGUCGCAUCAUCGAAUCGUCAUGAUCGUACAGACUAAACGGUAAAGGGCCUCAGAGGUGUUCCUGCAUUGAGCUUCUGUUUUCCUGUGCUUCCUGUAUUCCUGUCUUAUCUCCUCUGUAGAGGUAUUCCG